This 58-nucleotide transfer RNA is filed under the name Mesocricetus auratus (golden hamster). It matches the Rfam family "tRNA", at positions 8 to 63 of the family's 71-position model. Rfam says of the family: Transfer RNA (tRNA) molecules are approximately 80 nucleotides in length. Their secondary structure includes four short double-helical elements and three loops (D, anti-codon, and T loops). Lineage: Eukaryota; Metazoa; Chordata; Mammalia; Rodentia; Cricetidae. The record is from Rfam by way of RNAcentral.
UGGCUCAAUGGUUAAGAGCACUGGCUGCUCUUCCAGAGUCUCUGGGUUCAAUUCCCAG